GGAAAGGAGAGGAGAGGACAAAUCCUGGUGCCAAAUCUGUCAAGAUUUGGCACCAACAGAGGGAGAGUUGUUCGAGGGUCAGCUGAACAAGAAAAUGAGGCAUGCUGUCCCUGUGUGGCAUGUUCAUGCCCAUGCCACCUCAUGACUCCUAAUAAGAUGACAAGCAAUGAAGGGGGGCAGAAGAGGGCAUUGGAGAAGAGCAAGGCUCUCUUUCUUCGGAAAAGAUACCCCUCCACUGAGGAGAAGUCAG
Salarias fasciatus (jewelled blenny) is the source of this 250-nucleotide long non-coding RNA. The record is from Ensembl. NCBI's taxonomy places the organism in Eukaryota, Metazoa, Chordata, Actinopteri, Blenniiformes, Blenniidae.